This 468-nucleotide ribosomal RNA is filed under the name uncultured bacterium. RNAcentral's name for it is "bacterial SSU rRNA". It matches the Rfam family "Bacterial small subunit ribosomal RNA", at positions 28 to 507 of the family's 1533-position model. The record is from RNAcentral.
GAUGAACGCUGGCGGCGUGCUUAACACAUGCAAGUCGAACGAAGAUGCCGGAGUGCUUGCACUUUGGCAGACUGAGUGGCGGACGGGUGAGUAACGCGUGGGUAACCUGCCCUGUACCGGGGGACAACAGUUGGAAACGACUGCUAAUACCGCAUAAGCGCACAGCAUCGCAUGAUGCAGUGUGAAAAACUCCGGUGGUACAGGAUGGACCCGCGUCUGAUUAGCUAGUUGGUGAGGUAACGGCUUACCAAGGCAACGAUCAGUAGCCGACUUGAGAGAGUGAUCGGCCACAUUGGGACUGAGACACGGCCCAAACUCCUACGGGAGGCAGCAGUGGGGAAUAUUGCACAAUGGGGGGAAACCCUGAUGCAGCGACGCCGCGUGAAGGAAGAAGUAUUCGGUAUGUAAACUUCUAUCAGCAAGGAGAAAAUGACGGUACUUGACUAAGAAGCCCCGGCUAAAUACGUG